This 497-nucleotide ribosomal RNA is filed under the name uncultured bacterium. Its description in RNAcentral is "partial 16S ribosomal RNA". It matches the Rfam family "Bacterial small subunit ribosomal RNA", at positions 28 to 507 of the family's 1533-position model. The record is from RNAcentral.
GACGAACGCUGGCGGCGUGCCUAAUACAUGCAAGUUGAGCGCUUAAGGUUGGUACUUGUACCAACUGGAUGAGCAGCGAACGGGUGAGUAACGCGUGGGGAAUCUGCCUUGGAGCGGGGGACAACAUUUGGAAACGAAUGCUAAUACCGCAUAAAAACUUUAAACACAAGUUUUAAGUUUGAAAGAUGCAAUUGCAUCACUCAAAGAUGAUCCCGCGUUGUAUUAGCUAGUUGGUGAGGUAAAGGCUCACCAAGGCGAUGAUACAUAGCCGACCUGAGAGGGUGAUCGGCCACAUUGGGACUGAGACACGGCCCAAACUCCUACGGGAGGCAGCAGUAGGGAAUCUUCGGCAAUGGACGAAAGUCUGACCGAGCAACGCCGCGUGAGUGAAGAAGGGUGUCGGAUCGUAAAACUCUGUUGGUAGAGAAGAACGUUGGUGAGAGUGGAAAGCUCAUCAAGUGACGGUAACUACACAGAAAGGGACGGCUAACUACGUG